UUUAAGAUGCCUGAAAAAGGACUAUCUUGAUAGGGUAGUAUAUAAAUUUACAUUUUCUUAAAG
Molecule: transfer RNA, 63 nt
Filed under: Ramazzottius varieornatus
Lineage: Eukaryota; Metazoa; Tardigrada; Eutardigrada; Parachela; Ramazzottiidae
Description: tRNA-Ile
Source: RNAcentral